GACGAACGCUGGCGGCGUGCCUAAUACAUGCAAGUAGAACGCUGAAGGAGGAGCUUGCUUCUCUGGAUGAGUUGCGAACGGGUGAGUAACGCGUAGGUAACCUGCCUGGUAGCGGGGGAUAACUAUUGGAAACGAUAGCUAAUACCGCAUAAGAGUAGAUGUUGCAUGACAUUUGCUUAAAAGGUGCAAUUGCAUCACUACCAGAUGGACCUGCGUUGUAUUAGCUAGUUGGUGGGGUAACGGCUCACCAAGGCGACGAUACAUAGCCGACCUGAGAGGGUGAUCGGCCACACUGGGACUGAGACACGGCCCAGACUCCUACGGGAGGUAGCAGUAGGGAAUCUUCGGCAAUGGACGGAAGUCUGACCGAGCAACGCCGCGUGAGUGAAGAAGGUUUUCGGAUCGUAAAGCUCUGUUGUAAGAGAAGAACGAGUGUGAGAG
RNAcentral lists this ribosomal RNA (441 nucleotides) under Streptococcus mitis. Its description in RNAcentral is "bacterial SSU rRNA". It matches the Rfam family "Bacterial small subunit ribosomal RNA", at positions 28 to 461 of the family's 1533-position model. Lineage: Bacteria; Bacillati; Bacillota; Bacilli; Lactobacillales; Streptococcaceae. The record is from RNAcentral.